RNAcentral lists this ribosomal RNA (273 nucleotides) under uncultured bacterium. RNAcentral describes it as "partial 16S ribosomal RNA". It matches the Rfam family "Bacterial small subunit ribosomal RNA", at positions 524 to 796 of the family's 1533-position model. The record is from RNAcentral.
UACGUAGGGGGCAAACGUUGCUCGGAAUUAUUGGGCGUAAAGGGUGUGUAGGCGGCUGAGCAAGUCAUGGAUGAAAUCCCGGGGCUCAACUCCGGAAGGGUCCUUGAAACUGUUCAGCUUGAGGAUAGUUGAGGAGAGCGGAAUUCCCGGUGGAGCGGUGAAAUGCGUAGAUAUCGGGAGGAACACCAGAGGCGAAGGCGGUUCUCUGAGCUAUUCCUGACGCUGAGACACGAAAGCUAGGGGAGCAAACGGGAUUAGAUACCCCCGUAGUCC